UACGGGGUGGGCAAGCGUUGUUCGGAAUUACUGGGCGUAAAGGGCUCGUAGGCGGCCAACUAAGUCAGACGUGAAAUCCCUCGGCUUAACCGGGGAACUGCAUCUGAUACUGGAUGGCUUGAGAUUGGGAGAGGGAUGCGGAAUUCCAGGUGUAGCGGUGAAAUGCGUAGAUAUCUGGAGGAACACCGGUGGCGAAGGCGGCAUCCUGGACCAACACUGACGCUGAGGAGCGAAAGCCAGGGGAGCAAACGGG
Molecule: ribosomal RNA, 253 nt
Filed under: uncultured bacterium
Lineage: Bacteria
Description: partial 16S ribosomal RNA
Rfam family: Bacterial small subunit ribosomal RNA
Source: RNAcentral